Molecule: non-coding RNA, 84 nt
Organism: Bombyx mori (domestic silkworm)
Lineage: Eukaryota; Metazoa; Arthropoda; Insecta; Lepidoptera; Bombycidae
Source: Rfam
UUAACUCAAAUUUAUAUGGAGUUGGAACAUUUCCCUACGGUUACCGCUAGGGGCGCUGUUUCAACUUCAUACAAAUUUGAGUUA